CCUACGGGAGGCAGCAGUGGGGAAUAUUGCACAAUGGGGGAAACCCUGAUGCAGCGACGCCGCGUGAGUGAAGAAGUAAUUCGUUAUGUAAAGCUCUAUCAGCAGGGAAGAAAAUGACGGUACUUGAGUAAGAAGCACCGGCUAACUACGUGCCAGAAGCCGCGGCAAUACGGAGGGGGCAAGCGUUAUCCGGAUUUACUGGGGGUAAAGGGAGCAUAGACGGCAGUGCAAGUCUGGAGUGAAAGGCGGGGGCUCAACCCCCGGACUGCUGUGGAAACUGUACGGCUGGAGUGCAGGAGAGGUAAGUGGAAUUCCUGGUGUAGCGGUGAAAUGCGUAGAUAUUAGGCAGAACACCAGUGGCGAAGGCGGCUUACUGGACUGUAACUGACGUUGAGGCUCGAAAGCGUGGGGAGCAAACAGGAUUAGAUACCCUAGUAGUC
This 440-nucleotide ribosomal RNA is filed under the name uncultured bacterium. RNAcentral describes it as "partial 16S ribosomal RNA". It matches the Rfam family "Bacterial small subunit ribosomal RNA", at positions 338 to 795 of the family's 1533-position model. The record is from RNAcentral.